Molecule: transfer RNA, 83 nt
Filed under: Canis lupus familiaris (dog)
Lineage: Eukaryota; Metazoa; Chordata; Mammalia; Carnivora; Canidae
Also listed under: 1 other name
Rfam family: tRNA
About the family: Transfer RNA (tRNA) molecules are approximately 80 nucleotides in length. Their secondary structure includes four short double-helical elements and three loops (D, anti-codon, and T loops).
Source: Rfam by way of RNAcentral
AUCUGGGUGGCUCAGUGGUUGAGCAUCUGCCUUCAGUUCAGGUCAUGAUCUCGGGGUCGUGGGAUCAAGUCCCACCUGAGGCU